ACAAAGGUACCAGCAGCAAGAAACACCAUUCAAGUAUAUUCAGUGCCUCUGCCUGCAACAAAUUCAUUAGCAUCCUACUAAGCAAACAAGUCACAUGGCUUAGCCCAAAGUUAGCAAGGUACUCCCCAAACCCAGCAGUCUGAGAAUGAAGCAGAAACAUUCGACUAGAAGCAGGAGAGGACACCCUGAUUCAGCAAGCAUGGCUGACAGUAGGAAAUCCCCAGUUUUGACGUGCAGUGACUUAAUGAGACACAUCGAGGGAGCAGGGAAAUGGAAGACCCGAUGGAAUAGAAUAUAAACCAGUUGAAAGCAGACUGUUUGGUCUGAGAAUAUCAUUUCAAAUCAUAGGUAUCUUGUCAGACUGCACUGUCCGUGGGCACCUGCAGUGGGUUCUGACUUAACCCUUAUAGAACUGUCUGCCUCCCGUACCUUUUUCCAUUUGGAAUCGCGUCAAUCAGUUUUACAGCUGAAAGCAGUGACGUGCUGACAGAAGGUACAGCUAAUUAGAAAUUAAUCAAAAUGAUUAACCUCUGCACUGCUUCAGUAAAUGAAUCACUUUAAAAGAUGUCAGUGGAAAGCCCCAGGAGACCGGUUUAGGAGCCCAGCAGUCAGCACCUGCAACCGCUCAGGAAGGCAGCAAUUUGAAACCAAGAAUGUUCUUCAAAAUCGCCUGAGGGAUUUAAAUAUACACAGACCUGGAGUCCAUGCUAGAACUCCCAAAGAAGAAUUUUCAAGUUGAAUGAGAAAAGCAAGUGAAAGAAUGGAUACACUAGAAAGAGCAUUCCCACAGAAGAGGAGUGAAAGUUAACCAGCAACAGAAGGAAGUCCCAAGAUGACCACCAAGCAAGAAGUCUAGAGAGCAAAUGAUUCAGAUUGGAGCUGGAGGGCAAAGGACUUCAGGAGGAAUACCUCCAAGAAAAAGUAAAAGUCCAUAGAUACUGCUUAUGAUUGAAUAAUCAAGAAAACAGGAUACCCAUGUGAUUCAGAAACUAGAGGUUGCACAGGGGUGGACCACUGCAGGAUGUUAUGACUUAACCCUUGAAGAACUGGGUGCCACUUAUUAGGUAUUAUGAAUACCUGGAAGGUAACACAGUUGUCACCCUCAAGGAGCUUAGACUGGUGGUCAUGAAUGGUGAAUACGAUGCCUGUAUGUAUACAAGGGGAGAUGAUUCCACUCUGGACAAAUGGGUUGUAGUAAUAAAGUACAGAAAUGUGUGAAUUAUUUGAGAAAUUAAAUAUAGUUCAGUUUGAUGGAUUACAGGUUUCAUUGAAUAGUUUGAUAAUGCUAAAUCCAAGUUUCUCUACCUUGUAUAGGAAAACAUUCAAUGUCUUUCUUUGUCUUUUUCUUCCUUCCUUUUGUUGUUUUUUUUCUUAAUAAACUUGCAUUUAAUCCCCAAGUCACAAUUUAUAUACUCUAAUGGGCUCAUUAUAUUAGUGUGAUUUUUUUUUGUAUCAUCAGAAAGAGGAGAUUUAACAAGAUUCUAAAUUCCUAAGUAACUAACUAACCACAAACUGAAAUGCAAAAGGGUAUUUGGAGCUACUAUCUCAAAUUACAUUUUUUUUUUCACCCUGAACUCCAAUGUAAAGUUCUUUUCCCUACUGAAUCAGUCUGGGAUGGACAGUAUGUGGGCUAUGAUGAUUCUUUUUAACACUCUAUCUUGAGUCUUUGGUCUCUUUCCCCAAGCCCAUACCCUAAUUCUGAACUCAUGGAAAAAGAAGUGUUUUUCCCUGAGAUUAGAACAAAGUUGGUACAUUCAUUCAACCCCAGGCCUUCCCAGAGCAGGAAAAGCCUUAGAACCACAAGAUAGCACGGCUUAGUGGUUGCCAUUAUCACUCUGAAGAUGGAGAGAUCUGGAUUCUAAGGCCAAUUCUGCAUGUUUGACCUUGAGAAAGUUGUUUACUCUCCUGUCCUUCAAUUUCUUCUUUUAUAGCUAAUAAAUAAUACUUAUUAAACACUUACUAU
This is a non-coding RNA of Vicugna pacos (alpaca), 1963 nucleotides long. NCBI's taxonomy places the organism in Eukaryota, Metazoa, Chordata, Mammalia, Artiodactyla, Camelidae. The record is from RefSeq and is a predicted model, not a curated record.